AGUGAACGCUGGCGGUAGGCCUAACACAUGCAAGUCGAACGGCAGCACAGUAAGAGCUUGCUCUUACGGGUGGCGAGUGGCGGACGGGUGAGGAAUACAUCGGAAUCUACUUUUUCGUGGGGGAUAACGUAGGGAAACUUACGCUAAUACCGCAUACGACCUACGGGUGAAAGCAGGGGAUCUUCGGACCUUGCGCGAUUGAAUGAGCCGAUGUCGGAUUAGCUAGUUGGCGGGGUAAAGGCCCACCAAGGCGACGAUCCGUAGCUGGUCUGAGAGGGUGAUCAGCCACACUGGAACUGAGACACGGUCCAGACUCCUACGGGAGGCAGCAGUGGGGAAUAUUGGACAAUGGGCGCAAGCCUGAUCCAGCCAUACCGCGUGGGUGAAGAAGGCCUUCGGGUUGUAAAGCCCUUUUGUUGGGAAAGAAAAGCAGCAGGUUAAUACCCCGCUGUUCUGACGGGACCCAAAGAAUAAGCACCGGCUAACUUCGU
RNAcentral lists this ribosomal RNA (491 nucleotides) under uncultured bacterium. RNAcentral describes it as "partial 16S ribosomal RNA". It matches the Rfam family "Bacterial small subunit ribosomal RNA", at positions 29 to 506 of the family's 1533-position model. The record is from RNAcentral.